This 668-nucleotide ribosomal RNA is filed under the name Bacillus thuringiensis. RNAcentral describes it as "bacterial LSU rRNA". It matches the Rfam family "Bacterial large subunit ribosomal RNA", at positions 1950 to 2617 of the family's 2925-position model. The record is from RNAcentral. Lineage: Bacteria; Bacillati; Bacillota; Bacilli; Caryophanales; Bacillaceae.
CCUAAGGUAGCGAAAUUCCUUGUCGGGUAAGUUCCGACCUGCACGAAUGGCGUAACGACUUCCCUGCUGUCUCAACCACAGGCCCGGUGAAAUUGCAGUACGAGUAAAGAUGCUCGUUACGCGCGGCAGGACGAAAAGACCCCGGGACCUUCACUAUAGCUUGGUAUUGGUGUUUGAUUCGGUUUGUGUAGGAUAGGUGGGAGACUUUGAUCAUAUGACGCUAGUUGUGUGUGAGUCGUUGGUGAAAUACCACUCUGAUCGGAUUGGAUGUCUUAACCUUGGCCCAUGAUCUGGGUUGGGGACAGUGCCUGGUGGGUAGUUUAACUGGGGCGGUUGCCUCCUAAAAUGUAACGGAGGCGCCCAAAGGUUUCCUCAGCUUGGUUGGUAAUCAGGUGGUGAGUGUAAGUGCACAAGGGAGCUUGACUGUGACACUGACAGGUGGAGCAGGGACGAAAGUCGGGACUAGUGAUCCGGCACCUACUUGUGGUUGUGGUGUCGCUCAACGGAUAAAAGGUACCCCGGGGAUAACAGGCUGAUCUUCCCCAAGAGUCCAUAUCGACGGGAUGGUUUGGCACCUCGAUGUCGGCUCGUCGCAUCCUGGGGCUGGAGUAGGUCCCAAGGGUUGGGCUGUUCGCCCAUUAAAGCGGCACGCGAGCUGGGUUUAGAAC